UACAGAGGUGGCAAGCGUUGUUCGGAAUUACUGGGCGUAAAGGGCGCGUAGGCGGUCUUGCAAGUCCUGUGUGAAAUCCCUCGGCUCAACUGAGGAACUGCACAGGAAACUGCUUGGCUUGAGUUCGGGAGAGGGAAGCGGAAUUCCGGGUGUAGCGGUGAAAUGCGUAGAUAUCCGGAGGAACACCGGUGGCGAAGGCGGCUUCCUGGACCGACACUGACGCUGAGGCACGAAAGCUAGGGGAGCAAACGGG
This 253-nucleotide ribosomal RNA is filed under the name uncultured bacterium. RNAcentral's name for it is "partial 16S ribosomal RNA". It matches the Rfam family "Bacterial small subunit ribosomal RNA", at positions 524 to 776 of the family's 1533-position model. The record is from RNAcentral.